GCCUUCGUAGAGGUCCACCACUACGAUAUCCUCCUCCGAAUUGUCCUGAUCAACCGCACCAAGAAGACCCUCCCCAACAUCAACUUCGAGAUCCUCCCCGGAGGCAGCC
Molecule: non-coding RNA, 109 nt
Filed under: Strombidium inclinatum
Lineage: Eukaryota; Ciliophora; Spirotrichea; Strombidiidae
Source: RNAcentral